UUCUUCUGCCCCUGCAGAAGCGCGCAUGUGUAGUUCUCAUUUCCUCCGCUGACCGGCUGAGGCAGUUAAAUAGCUAAGAGGGCUCCUGGGGGAAACCAAACGUUACGUUUAUGGAAAAGCUGCUUUUAGAUACUGGAGUGGCUUCCAAGUUCACCGCGGCCAUAAGUUAAGGAAGAUGAGCAACGUGAAAUGAGAAUAUUGUCAAAGAAAGAGCUUGGUGCUGGUUUGGGCCAGAAGCAAACAUUACAUAGGUGGAUGAUUAGAUGCUCAGGAAUUGAAAAUUUGUCCCAUGAGGAAAAUGAACAACAAAGGAACAAGAAAGUUGAGGAUAUUGAAAUGAAAAUAGAUGAAGUGAUGGUAUCUUAAACUUAAAGGGCAAGAAAACUUUCAGGAAGAAGCUAACAAUGGUUAUCUUCCUGUAUUGAGAAUUUCAGAUGCCUUUUUGAAAAUAUAUACAUAUACAAUGAUAUCUAUGAAUAAUACAUAUAUAUUAAUUUUUCAAGAGGUAAUGACUAUAUCUAUCUUCCUGGUGAAUUCUUGAUGAAUGACAAGUAGGAGAUACAAAAUAAAAUUUAUUGAAUAAAUAAAUGCUUAGAUACUUUUACAAUUAGCAU
Long non-coding RNA from Heterocephalus glaber (naked mole-rat), 614 nucleotides. RefSeq lists it as uncharacterized. The record is from RefSeq and is a predicted model, not a curated record. Lineage: Eukaryota; Metazoa; Chordata; Mammalia; Rodentia; Bathyergidae.